RNAcentral lists this non-coding RNA (166 nucleotides) under human gut metagenome. RNAcentral describes it as "Lysine riboswitch". It matches the Rfam family "Lysine riboswitch aptamer". Rfam says of the family: Riboswitches are metabolite binding domains within certain messenger RNAs that serve as precision sensors for their corresponding targets. Allosteric rearrangement of mRNA structure is mediated by ligand binding, and this results in modulation of gene expression. The record is from RNAcentral.
AUACGUAGAGGUUGCGUCAAUCAAGAGUAACCUGCCGGAUGCGUCGGAUGCAGAAGAAGGCAGGGAAAGGGAAAGACGCCGAAGGAGGGACGGAUUCCGAGCCGUUUAUCCUGGGCGCAGGAUUAAGAGUCCUGUGACUGUCAUCCAUAACGGGUGGGGAGCUACA